Molecule: long non-coding RNA, 1083 nt
Filed under: Anser brachyrhynchus (Pink-footed goose)
Lineage: Eukaryota; Metazoa; Chordata; Aves; Anseriformes; Anatidae
Description: lncRNA (ENSABRG00000003578.1)
Source: RNAcentral
AUGCCACCCCCCAGAGGCCGUGUCCUCACUGAAGGCCUCUGCCAACCUCUUCAUUUAUCUUCCAGCUGUUUUUUUGGCUUUGCAGCCUUGGGGAUGUUUCCAAGAUUCCCUGCCCGGCCCCCGGCACGCGCUGCCCUUGAGAGGCGCCUGAAGUGCUUGGCUUGGCCACGGCACAAGAGCCUGGUGCCAAAAAAGUCAUCAGGCAAGCGUGCCACCCUCCCCCCCCUCCCCCCAGGAUGUAGCGGGAUGUUAGGAUACAGGAGCAGAGGCAGUUUUGUGGGUCCCCACAGGGCUGCGUGGGUCUCCUCGGGGACACGGAGCAUGUGUAGCCCUGGGUGCCACCAGCAGCACUGCAUUUGGGAUGCCCCAGGGUGCUGCACCCCCAGGAGUGCACUAGAGGAUGCUGCUGGUGACAUCUCCAGCCCUUCUCCUUGUCCCCAUCCGCGUGGCGACCCACCAGCGUGCCGCUGGCCCCGGGCCACCCGCGGUCCCAGCUGUGUCCUGCUGCCACGAGGGGGCACGGCGGCCACGCGCACGGCACCGCGCCGAGGCCGUGUCCCCACAGCGCCUGCCCCGGCACCCCGUGUCCCGUGGGUCCCCGGGGAGUCGCCUGGGGGCCUUCGGCUCGCUGUCCUCAUCUCUGCUGCCCAGGGAAUGGACAAAUCCCCCACACACACAUACACAGCUGUUGUCCCCUGCGAGAUGUCCUGCGGCCGGGUGAUCGCUGUCACAGGAGGUGACAGCCACCUCCUUGGUCCUGGACAUUUGUUUGCCUGGCUGGGACCUGCUCCUCUCUUCCCGCACUCUGCCAUCUCUCCGGGUCUCGCACCCGAACCCCACCAAGACCUGGCCCCGUGCCAGAAAGCAGAGGCAAGCAGAGGACAGCGGGAUCGAGCCCAGCAGAAUUUGGUGCUGCAUCUGCUAUUUCCUGCAGCAGUUUGUCUCCUCACCGUUAGGGUGCGAAGAACUACAGCAGGAGCCUGUCCCCUUGUGCUCCAAGACGUCCUCUGCCUCCUCCACCCCUCCCUAAAUUCGUGCUCGGGCACCGCAGACAUCAUAACCUCACAUUUGUUCCUGGGCUAG